This 497-nucleotide ribosomal RNA is filed under the name uncultured bacterium. Its description in RNAcentral is "partial 16S ribosomal RNA". It matches the Rfam family "Bacterial small subunit ribosomal RNA", at positions 28 to 507 of the family's 1533-position model. The record is from RNAcentral.
GGUGAACGCUGGCGGCGUGCCUAAUACAUGCAAGUCGAGCGAACAGACGAGGAGCUUGCUCCUCUGACGUUAGCGGCGGACGGGUGAGUAACACGUGGAUAACCUACCUAUAAGACUGGGAUAACUUCGGGAAACCGGAGCUAAUACCGGAUAAUAUAUUGAACCGCAUGGUUCAAUAGUGAAAGACGGUUUUGCCGUCACUUAUAGAUGGAUCCGCGCCGCAUUAGCUAGUUGGUAAGGUAACGGCUUACCAAGGCAACGAUGCGUAGCCGACCUGAGAGGGUGAUCGGCCACACUGGAACUGAGACACGGUCCAGACUCCUACGGGAGGCAGCAGUAGGGAAUCUUUCGCAAUGGGCGAAAGCCUGACGGAGCAACGCCGCGUGAGUGAUGAAGGUCUUCGGAUCGUAAAACUCUGUUAUUAGGGAAGAACAAAUGUGUAAGUAACUAUGCACGUCUUGACGGUACCUAAUCAGAAAGCCACGGCUAACUACGUG